CGGCGGCUGGCGAGCAAGGUUCCGCGUCCCCCGAGGGAGAACCCGCCAGGAAGGAGCGGGCAUGGCCGCGAAUAGGAACUUGAAGCAAGUGCGGAUCGAAAACAGCUCCCCAGCGGCGCCGCUGGGCAUGGUGGGGGGUGGCGGCGGCGGCAACCUGAAAGGAUUGCGCGGCCUAGAAGCGGAGAGUGAGGCGGCGGCGGCGGCCAUGGCUCUGGCGCCGAGCAAAGAAGGUGGUGGAGGUGAGGAGCAGGGGGUUGGCUUCACUAUUGAUAUCAAGAGCUUUCUCAAACCCGGCGAGAAGAGCUACACGCAGCGCUGCCGGCUGUUCGUGGGGAAUCUGCCUACUGAUAUCACCGAGGAGGAUUUCAAGCGCCUUUUCGAGCGCUACGGGGAACCCAGUGAGGUCUUCAUCAAUCGGGACCGUGGCUUCGGCUUCAUCCGCCUGGAAUCUAGGACCCUGGCUGAAAUAGCAAAGGCAGAACUUGAUGGUACUAUUUUGAAGAGCAGACCACUUCGAAUUCGAUUUGCUACCCAUGGAGCUGCCUUAACUGUGAAGAAUCUGUCACCUGUGGUUUCCAAUGAGCUGCUGGAACAAGCAUUCUCUCAAUUCGGGCCAGUGGAAAGAGCUGUUGUUGUAGUAGAUGAUCGCGGCAGAGCUACAGGGAAGGGUUUUGUAGAGUUUGCAGCAAAACCUCCAGCACGGAAAGCUCUAGAAAGAUGCAGUGAUGGGGCAUUCUUGCUUACAACAACACCUCGACCUGUUGUUGUAGAACCAAUGGAACAAUUUGAUGAUGAGGAUGGACUCCCUGAGAAGUUAAUGCAAAAAACACAACAGUACCACAAGGAAAGAGAACAGCCACCACGCUUUGCUCAGCCUGGAACAUUUGAGUUUGAGUAUGCUUCACGGUGGAAGGCUCUUGAUGAGAUGGAAAAGCAGCAGCGGGAACAGGUUGACAGGAACAUUAGAGAAGCCAAAGAGAAACUUGAGGCAGAAAUGGAAGCAGCUAGACAUGAGCAUCAGCUAAUGCUGAUGAGGCAAGAUCUCAUGCGUCGUCAGGAAGAAUUGAGGCGCUUGGAAGAACUUCGAAACCAAGAGCUUCAAAAACGCAAGCAGAUACAAUUGAGACAUGAAGAGGAACACAGACGUCGUGAAGAAGAGAUGCUACGCCAGAGGGAGCAGGAGGAAUUACGACGACAACAGGAGGGAGGAGGAUUUAAGCCAAAUUUCAUGGAUAAUGUAAGCCCGAACAAAUGCAAACAUGAACACAGCUCUGCGGAUCAUCUCGGGUUCCCUUUGGAAACCCCAAAUAAGUGGCCACAAGGGAUUGUCUGUUUUCCUGAGAAAAGCUCGGCAUUGAAGUUCUUCUUUCUGUGUGCUGGAUAGUGGUUCUGCUACUCUAAAAAUCAUACCUGUGCCUGCUGGUCCAAAAUGCCAUAUGGUCACUUCAGUGGAAGUCAGAAUUUACCUGUGCUGCUAUGUGUUGCUAGGUUACUAUUAAAAUCUUAAAAUGCAGAUGAAGACUGGCUUGUGCAGAAUCCUUCUGCUAUCUUACACAGACAAAAGGGAAUCCUUAACCAGGUUUCAGUACAAGACUGCAGUAUGAACCUGGCUGACAAAGUGUACUGGCCUAACGAAAUUGUGUUAAGUGUUGAGUCAGGCUGCUGCUCCUGGACUUCCUGAAUGGUGGGAGUGAGAUCCAGGUAACCUUGGUGGGGAGGGCUGUCUGAAAAAUUGUCUGCAUUUCUCAGCUCUUUAUCCAACUGUAUUUGCUGAUGUGUGGCUCUGUUAUUUGUCAUUGGAGUCUUCUUAAGUGCUUUACUUUGAUGACAAAAGCACACUUGCAAGGAAGUUAUCACUCAAGUGUCUCUUGUAACUCCUCAGCCUGAAUCAUACUUCUUGGAAAUGUUCCUCUCCAUUGAAUGCAUUAGGUUUCAAUGAAAGCCGCUGGUGGCUGCCCACUCUCAGAACUGACCACGGCUGUUACAUUGUGAUGAUGUGCAAAAUGCUGCUUGCACCUUGGAGUUACAAGGACCAUCCCGACGGGCUGGACCUGUGAGACCUACCUGAGGGAAAAGGGCUGUUUGAAGAAUGUGAAUGCAUUUGCUUGUGAGGUCCAAGACCUCUUCCUGCAUGAGGAGACAAGUUACAGUUUGUGAUGUUACUGUCUUCAGCCUCUGGCACAGAAGAUGGUGCUAGUCCAGCAUUUCAUAGUAAACCUGAUGUUGGCCUACUUUGAUAUGUAACUCAAGUACUAAUGCCCUUUUCAUCUAAACUGCACUCCAAGUAGAUUGCUUUCUAGAAACAGCAGCGUUAAGGAAAAUGGGUGUCAGUAAAAGGAUUAAAGUUUGUACAUUCUACAAGAAUAAUAAGAGUAAAUUAUAUGUUAAAUGACUGCUCCUUGGUUCAAAUGAUUGCUGUUGAACUUCAAAAAAGCCUUUUAAAAAGUAUGAAAAUAUUUUCAAGCCCUACAAUGUAUGAUAAAAAAUAGGAAAGUGGUGGGGUUUAAAGAAAAGAGGUAAUGUGGAUUCUGUUUAUGCUGCAGUAGUUUAGAAGAACACAAAAGUAAUAAUUACCUAGAAAAAAAUGGUAUGAGCCAGUGACAGCUGAAAAGAACUGGAAGGAAAUGUUAAUCAUAGGGGAGAUUACAGCUGCAGUAAACUGUCUGUACUGUUGAGUAGGAAGUUAUGCUACAAAUGCCUGCUGUCUUAAUGUAGCCAAAUAACAAGAUGAAAAACCAUGAAUGAAGACUGGAAAAUUAAUUUGAUGUGAUUUGAACAUUGGCCUGUAACAUAUCACAAGGUUUUUUUCAAUUUCUAUAGCUAUUGUAAAACUGUUUCAAAUUAAAUGAGUAACAGGACAUUUAUUUUCUAUUUCCUGAAAUCAGCAAGGCAGUGGACAUGAAUUGAAGACUUGACAGGAACUUCAUGCAGUUAAAUCCUGCAGUGGGAACUGAACUAAGCCGAUGCAGUUGCAGAUCCUGGGUGCAGACUAGUGGUGAAGCAGCUUUGUGGAAGCUGAUCUGGGCCCUGAGGGACAAGUGAAGAUGAAGGUAUCCACCCACAUCCUGGGCUUCAUUGGAAGAUCAUGGCUGAGCAGGGGCCAGAAGAGCAGUCUCUCUGUUUGGUACUUCUGAGACUGCAGCAGAAACACUGUGCCCAGUUCUGGGCUCUUGAAGAAAAGAUGUGGGAGCAAGUCCCAUGGAAGCCAUUUGGAAUCAGAAGGCUGAAACACAGGAGCCAGGGGGCCAGGAAGCAGGGUUCUUUCCAGAUGGAGAACAGGAGGUGGGGGUGGUUAAGAGCUCCUGUUAAUUCAGCUGUGUAAGAGAAGUGUGUAGAGAAGAUGGAGCCAGGCUCAUGGUAGUGGUGCAUGGUGGCAGUCUUGUAGCACUGUUUGAGUGCAUGGAAGUGUUGCACCAUACCAAUAAUAAAAACAGUGCAAGGCAGUACUGUGUGACUGUA
Cinclus cinclus is the source of this 3459-nucleotide RNA transcript. It is a transcript of the gene named paraspeckle component 1, with no coding region annotated. The record is from RefSeq and is a predicted model, not a curated record. The transcript has 10 exons. Lineage: Eukaryota; Metazoa; Chordata; Aves; Passeriformes; Cinclidae.